RNAcentral lists this ribosomal RNA (649 nucleotides) under uncultured Leptothrix sp. Its description in RNAcentral is "bacterial SSU rRNA". It matches the Rfam family "Bacterial small subunit ribosomal RNA", at positions 877 to 1532 of the family's 1533-position model. Lineage: Bacteria; Pseudomonadati; Pseudomonadota; Betaproteobacteria; Burkholderiales; Sphaerotilaceae. The record is from RNAcentral.
GGAGUACGGCCGCAAGNUGAAACUCAAAGGAAUUGACGGGACCCGCACAAGCGGUGGAUGAUGUGGUUUAAUUCGAUGCAACGCGAAAAACCUUACCUACCCUUGACAUGUCUGGAAUCCUGCAGAGAUGUGGGAGUGCUCGAAAGAGAACCAGAACACAGGUGCUGCAUGGCCGUCGUCAGCUCGUGUCGUGAGAUGUUGGGUUAAGUCCCGCAACGAGCGCAACCCUUGUCAUUAGUUGCUACGAAAGGGCACUCUAAUGAGACUGCCGGUGACAAACCGGAGGAAGGUGGGGAUGACGUCAGGUCCUCAUGGCCCUUAUGGGUAGGGCUACACACGUCAUACAAUGGCCGGUACAGAGGGCUGCCAACCCGCGAGGGGGAGCUAAUCCCAUAAAACCGGUCGUAGUCCGGAUCGCAGUCUGCAACUCGACUGCGUGAAGUCGGAAUCGCUAGUAAUCGCGGAUCAGCUUGCCGCGGUGAAUACGUUCCCGGGUCUUGUACACACCGCCUGUCACACCAUGGGAGCGGGUUCUGCCAGAAGUAGUUAGCCUAACCGCAAGGAGGGCGAUUACCACGGCAGGGUUCGUGACUGGGGUGAAGUCGUAACAAGGUAGCCGUAUCGGAAGGUGCGGCUGGAUCACCUCCUU